RNAcentral lists this unclassified non-coding RNA (495 nucleotides) under uncultured Glomeromycotina. Its description in RNAcentral is "SSU rRNA". It matches the Rfam family "Eukaryotic small subunit ribosomal RNA", at positions 591 to 1092 of the family's 1831-position model. Lineage: Eukaryota; Fungi; Glomeromycota. The record is from RNAcentral.
CCAAUAGCGUAUAUUAAAGUUGUUGUGGUUAAAAAGCUCGUAGUUGAACCUUGGGCCUGGCUGGCCGGUCCGCCUCACCGCGUGUACUGGUCCGGCCGGGCCUUUCCCUCUGUGGAACCCCAUGCCCUUCACUGGGUGUGGCGGGGAAACAGGACUUUUACUGUGAAAAAAUUAGAGUGCUCCAGGCAGGCCUAUGCUCGAAUACAUUAGCAUGGAAUAAUAGAAUAGGACGUUUGGUUCUAUUUUGUUGGUUUCUAGGACCGCCGUAAUGAUUAAUAGGGACAGUCGGGGGCAUCAGUAUUCAAUUGUCAGAGGUGAAAUUCUUGGAUUUAUUGAAGACUAACUACUGCGAAAGCAUUUGCCAAGGAUGUUUUCAUUAAUCAGGAACGAAAGUUAGGGGAUCGAAGACGAUCAGAUACCGUCGUAGUCUUAACCAUAAACUAUGCCGACUAGGGAUCGGACGGUGUUAUUUUUUGACCCGUUCGGCACCUUACG